This is a small nuclear RNA of Hypomesus transpacificus, 163 nucleotides long. RefSeq annotates it as U1 spliceosomal RNA. The record is from RefSeq and is a predicted model, not a curated record. Lineage: Eukaryota; Metazoa; Chordata; Actinopteri; Osmeriformes; Osmeridae. The transcript has a single exon.
AUUCUUACCUAGCAGGAGCGACACCACGAUCAUUUAAGUGGUUUACCCAGGUUGAGGCUCAGUCACUGCACUUCGGCUGUCUGACGCUUGCGAAUUUCUCAAAUGUGGAAAUCUCGACUGCAUAAUUUCUGAUAGUGGGGGACUGCAUUCGCGCUCUCCCCUG